This 464-nucleotide ribosomal RNA is filed under the name uncultured bacterium. Its description in RNAcentral is "partial 16S ribosomal RNA". It matches the Rfam family "Bacterial small subunit ribosomal RNA", at positions 339 to 795 of the family's 1533-position model. The record is from RNAcentral.
CUACGGGGUGCACCAGUGGGGAAUAUUGCACAAUGGGCGCAAGCCUGAUGCAGCCAUGCCGCGUGUAUGAAGAAGGCCUUCGGGUUGUAAAGUACUUUCAGCGGGGAGGAAGGGAGUAAAGUUAAUACCUUUGCUCAUUGACGUUACCCGCAGAAGAAGCACCGGCUAACUCCGUGCCAGCAGCCGCGGUAAUACGGAGGGUGCAAGCGUUAAUCGGAAUUACUGGGCGUAAAGCGCACGCAGGCGGUUUGUUAAGUCAGAUGUGAAAUCCCCGGGCUCAACCUGGGAACUGCCUCUGAUACUGGCAAGCUAGAGUAUCGUAGAGGGGGGUAGAAUUCCAGGUGUAGCGGUGAAAUGCGUAGAGAUCUGGAGGAAUACCGGUGGCGAAGGCGGCCCCCUGGACGAAGACUGACGCUCAGGUGCGAAAGCGUGGGGAGCAAACAGGAUUAGAUACCCUAGUAGUC